UGGGGAAUAUUGCACAAUGGGCGCAAGCCUGAUGCAGCCAUGCCGCGUGUGUGAAGAAGGCCUUCGGGUUGAAUAGCACUUUCAGCGAGGAGGAAGGUGGUGAGCUUAAUACGCUCAUCAAUUGACGUUACUCGCAGAAGAAGCACCGGCUAACUCCGUGCCAGCAGCCGCGGUAAUACGGAGGGUGCAAGCGUUAAUCGGAAUUACUGGGCGUAAAGCGCACGCAGGCGGUUUGUUAAGUCAGAUGUGAAAUCCCCGGGCUCAACCUGGGAACUGCAUUUGAAACUGGCAAGCUAGAGUCUCGUAGAGGGGGGUAGAAUUCCAGGUGUAGCGGUGAAAUGCGUAGAGAUCUGGAGGAAUACCGGUGGCGAAGGCGGCCCCCUGGACGAAGACUGACGCUCAGGUGCGAAAGCGUGGGGCAGCAAACAGGAUUAGAUACCCUGGUAGUCCACGCUGUAAACGAUGUCGAUUUUGGAGGUUGUGCCCCUUGAGGCGUGGCUUCCGGAGCUAACGCGUU
This 517-nucleotide ribosomal RNA is filed under the name uncultured bacterium. RNAcentral's name for it is "partial 16S ribosomal RNA". It matches the Rfam family "Bacterial small subunit ribosomal RNA", at positions 355 to 861 of the family's 1533-position model. The record is from RNAcentral.